This 205-nucleotide long non-coding RNA is filed under the name Mytilus galloprovincialis (Mediterranean mussel). Lineage: Eukaryota; Metazoa; Mollusca; Bivalvia; Mytilida; Mytilidae. The record is from RNAcentral.
UAUUUGAGGGGGAGGACAGGGGGUACCCUUCUCCCUUCUCCCACCCCUCUACUCCUUUCUCCUACCCCCGUUCUCCUUUCUCCCAUUAGAAUAAAACAUCUCCUUUUGAGAUAUUUUUUUCUUGAAAUAUUAGAUUAUUUUUUAAAAGGAGAGAUAUUUUAUUUUUUCUCCUUUCUCCAACUUUUUCUCCUUUCUCCCAGCCUUC